This 71-nucleotide transfer RNA is filed under the name Camelus bactrianus (Bactrian camel). It matches the Rfam family "tRNA". From Rfam's summary of the family: Transfer RNA (tRNA) molecules are approximately 80 nucleotides in length. Their secondary structure includes four short double-helical elements and three loops (D, anti-codon, and T loops). Further hydrogen bonds mediate the characteristic L-shaped molecular structure. tRNAs have two regions of fundamental functional importance: the anti-codon, which is responsible for specific mRNA codon recognition, and the 3' end, to which the tRNAs corresponding amino acid is attached (by aminoacyl-tRNA synthetases). tRNAs cope with the degeneracy of the genetic code in two manners: having more than one tRNA (with a specific anti-codon) for a particular amino acid; and 'wobble' base-pairing, i.e. permitting non-standard base-pairing at the 3rd anti-codon position. The record is from Rfam by way of RNAcentral. RNAcentral also lists the same sequence under 2 other names. Lineage: Eukaryota; Metazoa; Chordata; Mammalia; Artiodactyla; Camelidae.
GAGGGUGUAGCUCAGUGGUAGAGUGCGUGCUCGGUAUGUACAGGUCCUGGGUUCAAUCCCCAGUACCUCUA